AUACGUAGGGGGCGAGCGUUGUCCGGAAUGAUUGGGCGUAGAGGGCGCGUAGGCGGCGCGGUAAGUCUGGAGUGAAAGUCCUGCUUUCAAGGUGGGAAUUGCUUUGGAUACUGCCGCGCUUGAGUGCAGGAGAGGUUAUCGGAAUUCCCGGUGUAGCGGUGAAAUGCGUAGAGAUCGGGAGGAACACCAGUGGCGAAGGCGGGUAACUGGACUGCAACUGACGCUGAGGCGCGAAAGUGUGGGGAGCAAACAGGAUUAGAUACCCUGGUAGUCCACACUGUAAACGAUGAAUGCUAGGUGUAAGAGGUAUCGACCCCUUUUGUGCCGGAGUCAACACAAUAAGUAUUCCGCCUGGGGAGUACGGCCGCAAGGUUGAAACUCAAAGGAAUUGACGGGG
Molecule: ribosomal RNA, 397 nt
Filed under: uncultured bacterium
Lineage: Bacteria
Description: partial 16S ribosomal RNA
Rfam family: Bacterial small subunit ribosomal RNA
Source: RNAcentral